CCCCAUCAGGGGAUCGGAGACGGACGGGAUUGGAGCUGAGUCUGACAGAGCAAGAGGACUGUGAGAGACAACGAGAGUCCAAGAAAGAGCUGCAGAAGCAGCAGCAGCAUGAACUGGCGGUGGUGGAGUGGAGAGGCAUAGGGGACGCCCCAGGGAGCACAGCUUCCCCAAACUGA
This is a long non-coding RNA of Chelonia mydas (Green sea turtle), 176 nucleotides long. RefSeq lists it as uncharacterized. The transcript has 3 exons. The record is from RefSeq and is a predicted model, not a curated record. Lineage: Eukaryota; Metazoa; Chordata; Testudines; Cheloniidae.